GUCUGCUUUGGUAGAAAUAUACUGAAGUUGGAAUGACACAGAGUUGAUUAGGAUGGCCCUUAUGCAAAGAUGAUGCACACAUCUGUGAAGUGUUCCAUAUUUUU
This is a small nuclear RNA of Fukomys damarensis (Damara mole-rat), 104 nucleotides long. Lineage: Eukaryota; Metazoa; Chordata; Mammalia; Rodentia; Bathyergidae. The record is from Ensembl.